This 253-nucleotide ribosomal RNA is filed under the name uncultured bacterium. Its description in RNAcentral is "partial 16S ribosomal RNA". It matches the Rfam family "Bacterial small subunit ribosomal RNA", at positions 524 to 776 of the family's 1533-position model. The record is from RNAcentral.
UACGUAGGGUGCAAGCGUUGUCCGGAUUUAUUGGGUUUAAAGGGUGCGUAGGCGGCCCUGUAAGUCAGUGGUGAAAGCCUCCAGCUCAACUGGAGAACUGCCAUUGAUACUGCAGGGCUUGAGUACAGACGAGGUUGGCGGAAUUGAUUGUGUAGCGGUGAAAUGCAUAGAUACAAUCAAGAACUCCGAUUGCGUAGGCAGCUAACUAGGCUGUAACUGACGCUGAGGCACGAAAGCGUGGGGAGCGAACAGG